UAGGGAAUCUUCCGCAAUGGACGAAAGUCUGACGGAGCAACGCCGCGUGAGUGAAGAAGGAUUUCGGUUCGUAAAACUCUGUUGUUAGGGAAGAAAAAAUGUAUAGUAACUAUAUACAAAAGAGACGGUACCUAACCAGAAAGCCACGGCUAACUACGUGCCAGCAGCCGCGGUAAUACGUAGGUGGCAAGCGUUGUCCGGAAUUAUUGGGCGUAAAGCGCGCGCAGGUGGUUUAGAAAGUCUGAUGUGAAAGCCCACGGCUCAACCGUGGAGGGUCAUUGGAAACUAAUAAACUUGAGUGCAGGAGAGAAAAGUGGAAUUCCUAGUGUAGCGGUGAAAUGCGUAGAGAUUAGGAGGAACACCGGUGGCGAAGGCGGCUAUCUGGACAGUAACUGACGCUGAGGCGCGAAAGCGUGGGGAGCAAACAGG
Molecule: ribosomal RNA, 429 nt
Filed under: Verrucomicrobiota bacterium
Lineage: Bacteria; Pseudomonadati; Verrucomicrobiota
Description: Verrucomicrobia bacterium partial 16S ribosomal RNA
Rfam family: Bacterial small subunit ribosomal RNA
Source: RNAcentral